Molecule: long non-coding RNA, 1876 nt
Filed under: Homo sapiens (human)
Lineage: Eukaryota; Metazoa; Chordata; Mammalia; Primates; Hominidae
Description: non-protein coding lnc-CLASP2-1:2
Source: RNAcentral
CGCCUGGUCAGGCCGGGACGGGGCGGCUCCGCCCAGGUUACAGGAUUGAAGGAAGGGGGGAGACGGGAAGAGGAGCGGCGAGCGACGGCUGGCAGACAACCUACCCACUCCCAGCCCCGCGCCCACCUCAGGAGCGUCUCGAGCGCGCCCUCGUGCUUGUCCAGCGGACGACCGACUGCGGCGCGGCGCAGCUUGCUGAGCUCCUCCGCCGCGCGGCAGUACUGGGCCUGCUCUUCCCCGCCGCUUGGGUAAGUCUGCUGGAUGAACUUCACCAGCGGCUUGGCCAGGUCCACCUCUGAGGUCUUUUUCAGCUGCACCGAGAUGAAUGUCGCCAUGAUCAGCGCCUCCGCCGCCGUUCGGGCCAAACAGACCGCGGACAGCUUACGAGGGCCGAGGAGAGAGAGGUACUGGGCUGGCGGACUGGCGGACUGACUGGCUGACAGACUUGCGCUCCGCCUGCGUUCCGGGUCCGGCAACUUCCGGGAGCUCCAGCGCAGGCGCACUGGAUGCGGGGUCCUUAAGCUGUCCGCGGUCACGUGAAGGUGUCGCGGCGGCUACGCCCACCUGGACCCAGUUUACCCUGUACUGUGCUGCAAAAUAUUACUUUCUCCCCAUCUGGAAUUCUUCCCUUCCUCCUUCCUGCCGCAGUGGUGUACUGAGCACUUUCACGUAAGAGUAUUCCUCCACUCGAACAACCCCCCGGAGAAGUACUGGUGUCACUGCCACCUGCGAGAGUUUGCGGCUACCUCCCCAAGAGGCAGUCCCAGGGUUAUUGUGACCUAUGAUGUUUAUUCAACUACUGUUGACGGGCUGCUGUGCACAGGGAACCUAGUAGGCAAGACCCCUGCCAUCGUGCAGCUUACUGUCAGGUUGACACAGACCUUAAGGUAAACGGAAAAAGUAUCAGGAAAAAAACAGGGUGCUUGGGACUUAGGAGAUGUUAAGAUCGCUUGGAGGACCCUAAUUUAAAUAAGAUAAAGUAGGUUUUCUCCGAGUAGGUUAACUGAAAAUGAACCUGUGUCUCUGGUUGCUGUUUUGUAGAAAGAACAAAAUUUUAAAUAAAUUAAAAACGACACCUGUAAUUUGAGAAGAUGCUUGAUAUCAGAAGAGGAGAAGAGUGGAGAGGGGUGGAGUGGCAAAGGAGAGCCUCCAAACCAAAAGCCUGCGGCAGAGGCCCUAGGAGGCAAGCACUUAACCAUGUUUCAGGACUAGAAACGAAACAUGUGACAAGACCUUUAAAAACAAAUAGAAUGGGAUGGAAUAAAGUUGGAUGAGUAAGCAGGCAUCAAAUCAUUCAGAAACUUGUUGUCCAAGUUGAAGAAUUUGUUUAGUAUUGUAUAAUAAAUGCAGAGGAAGCUAUAUACACUUAUAAUUUACAUUUUUUAAAGGCCACGUUGUAGCUCAAUCGGAUAGUUUGUCUUUUGAUGGGAUGUAGUAUACAGUAUCAUCAUGGUAUAUUCCAGGCAAAAAUAUUUAACUUGAAUCUGUCAAGCCUUUGCAUCUAACACAGUUUAUAAAAAAUACAACAGAUAGAUGAACAAACUAAAUGAUGCCAGAGGAAGUAACUAGACAGAUCCAGAAGGUGAAACAUUCUGCAGGAUAACUGGCCCAUCUCUUCAACAAUUUGUCAUGAUAAAAGCAACUGCUUUAUGAAAAGAAAUUUAAGGGACAUAACAGUUUGAAUUGGAUCCUGGUUUGAACAGACUGUCUAUAAAAUGCAUUUUCAGGACCAUUAAAGAAAUAUGAAUGUAGAUGGACUGAGUAUUGGAUAAAAUAGAACUGUAUUGCCAUGGAAAAGAUCAUUAACUGAAAAGAGCAAGUCACGAAAUAGUAUGUUACAGCAUCUCAUUUUGGUUUAAAAAUGCACAUAUAUGUA